GGUCUUGUAGUCGAAGUUUAAGAUGUCAGGCUGCAAUCCUGAAGAUGUAGUAUUAUAUUAACCUUGGCCUUUU
This 73-nucleotide transfer RNA is filed under the name Alpheus japonicus. Its description in RNAcentral is "tRNA-Cys". The record is from RNAcentral. Lineage: Eukaryota; Metazoa; Arthropoda; Malacostraca; Decapoda; Alpheidae.